CUGCCUGCUGCUGGGUCCUUCCUUGCCUCACCUGGCUGGACUCUGCCAGGUCAGCCUGUCUCUACUUCGGCAUCUCAAAGCGUUAAGGCCGAGCAGCUGAUGCUCUUGAUGCGGGGAUUAACAGAGGCCUCUAUUGGAGCUACUAACCAAAAAAUGAAAAGGAACUAGACCCAGAGAGGAUCAAAUGUGUAAAUGCCAAUUCAGAGAGGUGAGCAAAGCAGGAAGAAAGAAAGAAGGAGGGGAGGUCAAGAUGAGAACUCUGCUGACUCCUGAUUCUCCAAGAAUGGAGAAGAUCAGGGAAAGUCUGAAUGAAGGCCAGCAGGCAGUAUCAGCCGAACCAAGAAGGGCCAUAAAGCUGCAGACCAGGAAAUCUGCCCUCUGAGAGCACAGAAUUUAGAAUGGACAGCAAAUUUAGUAAAAGUAGGUGUUCCAGCUAGAAGAUUUGGAUGAAAAGUGAUUCCAAAAAAAUGAGGCAAUCUCAUCCCGAAACUAUUUAAAACUACUCUCCUCUCUCUUGAUAAACCGUCAGUAGGAAGUGUGUCGUUUAUUCCCUCACUCCACACUGGAUUCAUAUGGGCUGAUAGCAGCAGGAUUAAAAAUUUUUUUCAUCAUGAGUUAAAUCCCUAAGAUUUAGAGUAUUUUGUUUGUCUGAAUGUCUAAGCGGUACAAACCUUAGCAAUCCAUAUUAAAAUGGAGAAUUCCUUCUUUUGGUAUUCACAAGCAUAACAUACAUAAUCCUUUA
RNAcentral lists this long non-coding RNA (742 nucleotides) under Homo sapiens (human). Its description in RNAcentral is "HSALNT0203584". The record is from RNAcentral. Lineage: Eukaryota; Metazoa; Chordata; Mammalia; Primates; Hominidae.